Molecule: ribosomal RNA, 474 nt
Filed under: uncultured bacterium
Lineage: Bacteria
Description: partial 16S ribosomal RNA
Rfam family: Bacterial small subunit ribosomal RNA
Source: RNAcentral
GACGAACGCUGGCGGCGUGCUUAACACAUGCAAGUCGAGCGGUAAGGCCCUUUCGGGGGUACACGAGCGGCGAACGGGUGAGUAACACGUGGGUGACCUGCCCUCAGCUCUGGGAUAAGCCUGGGGAAACUGGGUCUAAUACUGGAUAUGACUCCACGGUGCAUGUCGUGGGGUGGAAAGCCUUGUGCGGCUGAGGAUGGGCCCGCGGCCUAUCAGCUUGUUGGUGGGGUGANGGCCUACCAAGGCGACGACGGGUAGCCGGCCUGAGAGGGCGACCGGCCACACUGGGACUGAGACACGGCCCAGACUCCUACGGGAGGCAGCGGUGGGGAAUUGUUCGCAAUGGGCGCAAGCCUGACGACGCAACGCCGCGUGGAGGAUGAAGGUCUUCGGAUUGUAAACUCCUGUUGCUCGGGACGAAAUGCUCCAGCCUAACACGUUGGAGUUUGACGGUACCGGGUGAGGAAGCCCGGC